UUUGCUCGACGGAACCCAUCAAAUACGCUUGUUGUCUUCUUCAAUCACAAGCUCCAAAUGGUAAUCUCUCCUAUCUCAUCUUCCUUUCUUCUUUCAAUCUUUACUACAUCCUAAGGACGAAGACAUUUGUGGCCUUUGUCAUCAUCUGCAUUUCAAAUUGGGAAAAAUCGAAUUACAAAUCCGGAUGGAUUCCCACAUCUGAUUUAGACAUUACAUAAAAUGAGACUUUCCAUUGCUUCCUAAUGAUGAGUUUUAACAUACGAUAGAUACAAUAAAAUUUAAAUAACUAUCCCGGCACAAACAAAAAACACUAGGUGGUUCUUCCUUAUCACAGCCUUGAUAUCAGUUAUGCCAUGCAUGAAAGCUGAUCCGAACAUUACGAUUAUAAAAAAAAAAAUUAAGUAACAAUCAAAUAAAUAGUUGCACUUAACUAAUAACAAAAUACAAUACAGUAGGGAACAAGCAUCCAAACAAGCUGUAAGAGACUCUGAAGAUUUUCUUGUUCGAAAUCCAAUCGUAGUGUUAUUUCUGCUGACUCGGCAGUGAGAUUCAAAGCAUCCUCAACUCUCCCUCACUUCAGUUGGCUGCCUUCAUAAAGGUAAUAUUCUUCCCCCUUUCUAUUUUAAUUAUGUGCUAUUUAAAUUUCAGUAUUAGAAUAGUUUAAAUUUAUUAUUUGGGUAGCUGAAUUUCUUUUCCGUAUGAGUUAAUUGGUCUUUGGUUUUCGUUUGUUUUUCUUACUUCUAUUUCUUGUUUAAAUUCGGCAUUAUUCAAUUCAAUCUUUGUUAGUAAGCUUGGGUUAGCUGCCCGCAGGGGCAUGGUUGAGUGGUUGGGAGGUGGAUCUCCCAUGUGGGAGACCUGGGAUCGAAUCCAGCCCCCAUCUAUCACUCAUCCAUAGCUCAUCGCAUGGGGCUUGCCUAGUGCAGUUUACGUCGUAGUUUGUGAGCUAUUGCACAGUGAGCAAGUUACCACAAAGUGCUCACCCGAAUGGAAGAAGUUGUGGGUUUCCAGAAAAGAAAGAACUUGGGUUAGCUUUUUUAUUGGUAAAAAGCACAAGUAAAUCUCUUUAAUAGUCUUAAGGGCUUUCUCUUUGUCUUAUUUCCGUUUGUCCAGAAUCAUGAUUCGUUUUGUUUGUUUGCUAGUCUUCAGAUUUUGUGUGUUAAACAUGUCAACUUCCAGUAAUCCUUUCUUCCUUUUUUACAUCUUGUUGUCCAGUGGCGGAGCCAGGAUUUUCACCUAGGGGGUUCAGAAAUAAACAUAUGAACAAAUCGAAGGGGAUUCAACAUCUAUUAAAUACACAUAAAAAAUAAUUUUAACCUUAUAUAAAUAUAUAAAUGGUAUAAUUUUCCUCUAAAGGGCCCCUCGCCAAAGGGUAGCUCUGCCCCUGCUGUUUUCGUUCCUUAUUUUUCUUUAAAUUCAGAUUGGUAAAUAUGUGUUAAUUUCGACAUCAGUGAGUACAACCAUUUGUCAUAAAGGGUAGAACUCAAAUGCCUUGGUUUCUUUAGAAUUCUAAAGAUUCGUUGAGCAGGAAAUUUGUAUCUACCUUUUAGAAUGUAUUCCUUGGUUUCUUUUCUUAGUAGCAGAUUUAGAGGUCACUUAAAGUCUAAUUUGCUACAGGGUGGAUUUGUUUCUUUAGUUCAAAGAGGUUCCGAACAUGAAAUAUGUGUGUAUGCUGCAUGUCUAAGCUUAAAUGUUCUAUGAACUGAAUACAAACAGUGAACAUGCACUCUCUACGUCAUCUUACACUAAAAAAAAAAAUGUACCUCACAGCUAUUUACCUUAAACUGAACAGAAAAUUUUACUCUUGUAUUUUUUUUAUUUUUUUUUUAAAAAUCAAAUGUUGGAUGAUCUUUGGCAGCACAAAGCCAUUUUUCAACAUGCUGUGUUUUCAGUCCUUUUAUUGAUACUUUGAAGUUUUUCUUAAAUCUAGGUUUUCAACGGUUCUUCAAUCUUUCCUGUCCUUUCUUCCAAUGGCUUCUAGAUCUCACAGAGGAGGUGAUUUCUACAGUGCUGCUUCCUACAGAUGCAGGUAUUUACCCUCCAAGAAGAUUAUCGUCUUCUAAGUUACAAUUUGUUAUGGCCUAAUUGUUUUCACAAUUUGAAUUGUAAUACCAAAGUGUUAUGUAACAAAAAAAAUUAGCAAAAGUAUAACCUAAUUUGCAGACAAUUAACCAAUCUACACCUUUUUGAAUUUUUUUGGUUUAUUUUUGAGAAACGAAGAUGUUUAUUUGUUUGAUUUAUCAGUGAUGGAUUGAGUACGAGGCAAGUAGGUGGUUCAGAUGAAAUACAGUUGCGGAUUGAUCCGAUGCACGGAGACCUAGAUGACGAGAUCACAGGUCUUCGCAAGCAAGUAAAACAACUCAGAAAUGUAUGUUUUCGUAACCACGUUGUUUUGGUUUUGUAUUUUGAGUUAAUUGGAAAAUAGCUUUUGCGCUACUAUCUAAUGUAUCUGUAGUUCGAUUGUAGUGUUAUUUCAUUGUAGUAUUGUUCUUCUACUAUCUGUUGAUUUUGUUCCUAUCUAUUGUCUCUAACGUCUUUUUCCAGAUUGAUUUUGUCUUGGGCCGGGGGUCUAUUGGAAACAACCUCUCUACCUCACCUCUAAGGUAGUGGUAAGGUCUUCGUACACUCUACCCUUCACAGUCCCCACAUUGUGGGGCUACAAUGGGUAUGAUGUUGUUGUUGGAAAAUAGAUUUAGCAUAACUGGCGGCAUCUUUAAGAUUUAUGUAUGUUUUAAACUCGGUGAUGUGCUGUGUCAUGGAUCCAUUUUAAACAAGGUGAUGUGUUAUAUGUUAGCACACUGAGUAAUAUUUAUUAGAAAACCAGUAUGAAACUGUGCUUAGAUGCACUUAAACACGCUUCUUUAAGACUGUUGAAGUCUCUCCCACGGGCAAAUAGAAGUUUAUUUUUCCUCAUUAUAUUAAAGACUGAUACUGUCACAAUGCAAUUUAGUGCAUCUUUUUUGAUUCAUUUAUAUCACAAGACAGAAUACCUAGUUAAGGAAGCAAUAAGUCUUAAAUUUGUCUUUCAUAUUUAUUUUAUGAAAUGGAAUCUUGAAGAUAUAUUGAAGAUGGGAUUUAACAAAACAAAAAUGUCCUAAUAUCAAUAUUCUGCCUUUGUAUAAUGAACCAAAUGUUGGUGAUAUGCGGUGGGUUCUCUUUUAACUGGCUAAGCAAUUGAUGGAGAGUGGGGAAUGGAAACAAAGAUUUAUUUGUUACCUUUUAUUGAUCAAAUUGUACUGGAUAAGAAAAAUGUUCAUUCACUUGUUGACUUUUACAUUUCCACUGGUAAGACUGCCUAUCAACGCUCAGCUGUCAAGAUAUUCUGGUUCCCCUGGCCCUGAGGUAUACUUUGCAUAAAAUCACACUGUGUUAGAACUUAAAAGCAUGGGUUUAAGUAUUUUUCGUCACUACGUUGGUUUCAAUAAAAUCAAUUGCUAGACUUAAAAGACAUCAAGUUUGACUGCCUAUGGAGCAAGUACCGCCUUAUUCCUGGUCAACAAUCUAGAAUCAAGCCUGUGUUUUCAUAAUAAAUUUUGCCUAGCUUUGAAUCCCAUGACUCCUUGUUUUAGUGGUUAGAUGUGUCUACCUUUAUUUCUGGUAUGGCCUGUAUUGAUGCUCUAUCAUGCUGACAUACUUCAAUCCGGUCUUUGAGGUGGAUGCUAGAGAGAUAUCACCGCUUAUAUCUAGGUUCUAAAUCCAUCGUUGUGAAAUCUGAAAGUUGGUGGACAGGUGUCAUGUUGUGUAUAUAGUUCAUUCAUGACUGGAUCGGAGAGAGGUUGUCAUUCUAUAGCCUAUUUGUGUCUCCAUAACAGGAAACCUAUAAUCACAAGACUAAAUCCCUUUUCUGGUCUAAAUCAACUUGGCCAAAAUAAUACUGAUUUCUGAAUUUGGGCUCAGCUUGGGGUUAUAUCUUCCACAUUUCCACCUCUACAUUGAUUUAAUACAACUUUCCAUUUGUCUAGUCCACUGCCAACCUGUUCUUCUUCAUCUCCCUGUUAUCUAUUCUAGUGUGUACAUUGAUUGCUGGACCACACUAACAACGAAGAGCUGCAAAUGGUACCAAAAAGAUAUUGCAAGUGCUUCAAUUUUUCUAUCUCCAGUUCAAGUUGGAUCGGACAUGCGCUUCACUGUUGCAAUCCCAAGGUUUAGGUAGUAAGAAAGAUCACUUUUUGAGCUGAUACUCGAAGAUGGUGGAAGAAAAUUUAACCAUCUGAUUGUCAUCGCAUAUUCGGAUAGAACAAAGACUAUCAUCUCUCGACCUCCUGUCCAUAUUUUGGUUUCUAGUACUUGCAUUGGUUGUUGGCCUCCACAUGCGUCAGAAGCAUAGGUGUGUCAGUUGCAAUAGUUUCACUGAAAUUUCAAACAGGACUAAAGUUUUGUAUUUCUAAUUAAACUUUGUUUCGUAUUUCUGACUGAACAUUGCUUUGGGUGCAAGUCCGGUAGGAGUUCCUGACAAUCUUUAUACCAUAUGUUAUUAUUAGAUGCAUCUUUCCAAUCUCUCAGUUUUUGGCCCUACUUGUUAUAUCAUAUUUGUCAUGGCUUCAGAUUCCUAUUCCUAGUUACCCUUUUUUACUCAAAUAUUUCAUGUUGCAGGUAGCACAAGAAAUUGAGUCGGAAGCAAAGUAUCAGAAUGAUUUUAUUAACCAACUGGUAUGCCGUGAACUUGUUCUCCCGCUUUCCCUGUGUGUUUGACAUCCUUUAAAACCCCUUUUGUUACUUCUCCGUAUAUCUCAUAUGCUCUAACAAUUAAAGUUUUGUAUAUUAGAACUUCAUUGGUAUUUAUUUUCUAAUUACUGGAUAACAAUCUAACAUGCACCAAUAAUUAAGGAGAUAGGGGAAAAUGAAUUAUAUUUAAUUUCAUAGUGAGUAAAAGUUUCCAAUUGCUAACCUUUAUUUACAGCCCUCAGAACAAUCCUCUCUGUCGUUCACCCUCGCUUUCUCUAUAAUCUGGAAAUUGCAGUUGUUAUUACUAUAAAUCUUUUAGAAAUGACAGUGUACUUGUAAACUUCCUUUGCCUUACCUCAGAUAUUACCAUGCAAGCUUGCCUGAAUGCCUUUGUUUCUCUAUGCUUUCUCAAGUUCUUAGAAGAUAUGUUCUUGUUAGAUCGUCUUCAUCUGACUGUGAAUAGCCCAAACUUGAUUGUACUUUCCCUUAUUCUUGAGGGUAACGUGUGCAGUGAUGCUGGACAAUAAACUCUGAUUCUAGAUCUGAUGCUGUAUUUCUAGGAGCCACCCUUCUAGUAUAACUUAGUUGGACAUGCAAUUUCAUGUCUGUGAUAUGAAAUCA
This 5283-nucleotide long non-coding RNA is filed under the name Capsicum annuum. RNAcentral describes it as "long non-coding RNA (CANN_LNC002844)". The record is from RNAcentral. Lineage: Eukaryota; Viridiplantae; Streptophyta; Magnoliopsida; Solanales; Solanaceae.